Molecule: ribosomal RNA, 1089 nt
Filed under: Triticum aestivum (bread wheat)
Lineage: Eukaryota; Viridiplantae; Streptophyta; Magnoliopsida; Poales; Poaceae
Description: partial small subunit ribosomal RNA
Source: RNAcentral
AUGAAGAGACUUUUGAGGGGCUCGUCGAGCCGAAGCUCUAAGGAAAAACAAAAGGAAGAAGAGGAGAAGCCCAAAUUUAAUUUACCUCGCACCGCGGAGGUCCGGCCGUGUGAAUGGCCUUCCGAUGACUUCUUGAGGAGAGCUGGGAUUCAUGAAGAUUUCUAUUUAUUGAUUGAGAAUGCCGGCCUCACCGACUUCCUCCACGACCAACGUCAUCAGUAUCUCUUACUCGCAAAUACCUUUGUGCAAAACUUCUACUUUUUCCCUAAGAAAUCACCUCCAACAGUAGAGUUUCAUUUAUAUGAUGUUGUUAAAGAGAUGACAUUAGCUGAAUUCUGCGAGGUUUGCAGAAUACCCUUUGAGGGCACCUUAGAUGAACCCCACCGCAACGAAGUAGAAGCUUUUAUUAACACUAUCACGGUGGGAGAAACCAGGAAGGUUUCUGAUGCGAGGAUCACUAGCAUUCAUUAUCUUGUUUUACGCUACUUUGCCAUAUUUGCUAGUCGUUGCUUGAUUGGACGCGGGAACUGUGGGAACCUUAGUGUUCCUGAUAUUAUUAUUUUGCUCCAUGGUUUAUACCGCGAUAACUCUGUUAGUAUGGGUGGAAUUGUUGCUAGACGGUUAAGUCAGAACCGUACUAAGGGCCCCACUUUUGGAGGCAUUUAUGCUUCGCGCCUAGCUGAACAUUUUGAAAUACCUAUUAGGCAUGCGGAGAAAGAAGAAACAGCGCUGCCCCGUGCUUAUUUAGAUUACAAGAGUAUGAUAGCGCAUGAUUUUCUUGUUAAGAGUCGCGAUGGGGAGCUCAAAUACAAAAUAUACUUUGAUAAACAUCACCCUGAGACUAUUACUUUGCCUGCUCCUUCUUUGUUUAACUUGUUUGCGGAACCUCACAUUGUUCUGUGGUCGGCUGUUCAAGCCUAUCGGAACCCUGCACCAGCCCCGGAGCCGGAGCCACAAGAUGAGCCUCCACGACUAUCUGUUUAUUCUUGGGAUCCUGAGGAGGCUGCCAGCCAGUGGCAGUCAGAGUCUUCUUCGUCAUACUACGACCCCAGUUUCACUUACGGGUACCCGCCAGGCCAUCCCUGGUAA